Molecule: ribosomal RNA, 253 nt
Filed under: uncultured bacterium
Lineage: Bacteria
Description: partial 16S ribosomal RNA
Rfam family: Bacterial small subunit ribosomal RNA
Source: RNAcentral
UACAGAGGGUGCGAGCGUUAAUCGGAAUUACUGGGCGUAAAGCGCGCGUAGGCGGCUUUGCAAGUCGGGUGUGAAAUCCCCAGGCUUAACCUGGGAACUGCAUUCGAGACUGCAUUGCUAGAGUAUGGGAGAGGGAAGUGGAAUUUCCGGUGUAGCGGUGAAAUUCGUAGAUAUGGGGAGGAACACCGGUGGCGAAGGCGGCCAUCUGGACGGAUACUGACGCUGAGACGCGAAAGCGUGGGGAGCAAACAGG